GCUAGGAAUGCAGCUUAGUGGUAUAGUAUUCGUCUAGCAUGCUUAAGGCCCUGUGUUCAAUCCCCAGUAUAGCA
This 74-nucleotide transfer RNA is filed under the name Marmota monax (woodchuck). Its description in RNAcentral is "tRNA.Ala". The record is from RNAcentral. Lineage: Eukaryota; Metazoa; Chordata; Mammalia; Rodentia; Sciuridae.